AACGCACGAGACCUGCGGACCUGCGGAGGGAUCAUUAAACAUUUUGGCCGUAACAAGCCUCAAACCUUAUUUACACGUACCUCCACAUUCUCCUUCGGCGGGGUAACGCCCGCCGAAGGAACCGACAAACGAACCUUUUGCAUCUAGCAUCCUACCCGUUCCGAUAAAAAAAUUCAAUCGUUACAACUUUUAACAACGGAUCUCU
Molecule: unclassified non-coding RNA, 205 nt
Filed under: soil metagenome
Description: partial contains 5.8S ribosomal RNA, internal transcribed spacer 2, and large subunit ribosomal RNA
Source: RNAcentral